This 497-nucleotide ribosomal RNA is filed under the name uncultured bacterium. RNAcentral's name for it is "partial 16S ribosomal RNA". It matches the Rfam family "Bacterial small subunit ribosomal RNA", at positions 28 to 507 of the family's 1533-position model. The record is from RNAcentral.
GAUGAACGCUGGCGGCGUGCCUAAUACAUGCAAGUCGAGCGAACAGAUAAGGAGCUUGCUCCUUUGAAGUUAGCGGCGGACGGGUGAGUAACACGUGGGUAACCUACCUAUAAGACUGGGAUAACUUCGGGAAACCGGAGCUAAUACCGGAUAACAUUUAGAACCGCAUGGUUCUAAAGUGAAAGAUGGUUUUGCUAUCACUUAUAGAUGGACCCGCGCCGUAUUAGCUAGUUGGUAAGGUAACGGCUUACCAAGGCGACGAUACGUAGCCGACCUGAGAGGGUGAUCGGCCACACUGGAACUGAGACACGGUCCAGACUCCUACGGGAGGCAGCAGUAGGGAAUCUUCGGCAAUGGGCGAAAGCCUGACGGAGCAACGCCGCGUGAGUGAUGAAGGGUUUCGGCUCGUAAAACUCUGUUAUUAGGGAAGAACAAAUGUGUAAGUAACUGUGCACAUCCUGACGGUACCUAAUCAGAAAGCCACGGCUAACUACGUG